This 268-nucleotide long non-coding RNA is filed under the name Elaeis guineensis (African oil palm). RNAcentral describes it as "long non-coding RNA (EGUI_LNC022714)". The record is from RNAcentral. Lineage: Eukaryota; Viridiplantae; Streptophyta; Magnoliopsida; Arecales; Arecaceae.
UUCUCUACUAUCUCGAAAGCUUUGGAUAAUUUAAACAUCAGAGAAUUCUCAGUUGGAAUAUCUCCGACGAGUGUGAACUUCGUUAGUAGGGAUCCUUUGGUAUCCUAGAUUUCGAUCGAUGUUAUGCUCUAGUCAUAUCAACAACUCUCUGGAGUUUCACGACAACACUUUCUAUGCUGCGGAUCAUUCAGGAGGAAUCUUAUGAAGAGAGCUAAGGCUGUUCUACGUGCUUUAUAUGAUAUUUUAGUUCCUAAUUUUUCUUUUAAUG